RNAcentral lists this ribosomal RNA (202 nucleotides) under uncultured Pseudomonas sp. RNAcentral's name for it is "partial 16S ribosomal RNA". It matches the Rfam family "Bacterial small subunit ribosomal RNA", at positions 150 to 355 of the family's 1533-position model. The record is from RNAcentral. Lineage: Bacteria; Pseudomonadati; Pseudomonadota; Gammaproteobacteria; Pseudomonadales; Pseudomonadaceae.
UUCGAAAGGAACGCUAAUACCGCAUACGUCCUACGGGAGAAAGCAGGGACCUUCGGGCCUUGCGCUAUCAGAUGAGCCUAGGUCGGAUUAGCUAGUUGGUGAGGUAAUGGCUCACCAAGGCGACGAUCCGUAACUGGUCUGAGAGGAUGAUCAGUCACACUGGAACUGAGACACGGUCCAGACUCCUACGGGAGGCAGCAGC